GGCAGGUCUUCAUGCUGAGAUCCCACCUCUAACACUUCAGUAUCGCCAUCAGUUACCUGACUGCUUGGAACAGCAUCACUUGUUUCAGCAGCUUGCUUAGAGCACUUUGAAGCCCCAUUCCUGUCCAUUCAGCAGCAGCAAGCUGAGUGAUCCUGUGUACUACAGAACAUAAACCUAAUGCUUCAAAGGCCAUUGCCAAAGACCUAAACAGCUCCUGCAAAAGUGCUCUACAGGAGCCCUGAAACAGAAGCAGAAUGAUGAGAAAACAGAUCAGGAAUGGAAACAGACUGGAUUUCUGAAGAUACCGAAUGUGUUAACACUUUGGUAAUACUACUUCUCUACAUAAACAGCUGCCACUGCUGCUGUGGAAGUUUUGGAAGCAUGAUGUCCAAAAUUAUCAAUUAGAAGCUUCAUUUAUAACUACCUUGUCAAUCUUUAUUUUUCUUUCAAAUUGUAUUUAUGUGAUAUGCUUUCACCUGCAAUUAGAAAUUUCAACACUUGCUUCAAGACUGAAGAAGUAAGACUAUCCUGUUACAUUUUGGUUCUGGUUUUUGUUUUUAACAGAAACCCACCUGUCUGGCAAGAACAGAAAAGUAACAAUGUAAAAGUGUUGCUGCUUUUCAGAGCCAAAAUUAGAGGCUCUGAACACAGAGCGGUUGAAGAUCUUUUUCUUGGUAAAGAAAGAAUGUUGUUAUUUGUAGAAAAUUGCCUGGCAUUUAAAUACUGUGUUAGAGAAGAUGAGAAAGGCUGUUAGUACUGUCUUGCUCAGAAAUGACAAUACAGAAACAUACAGAAACCAGCAGCAACUGUAUCCAUUUUGUUUUGAUUUUGUCCCUGGAAAUAUAUAGAUCUGAGUAAUACAUCUCUGAAGGUCUUGUUUUUUCCCUUUUCUUUUAAUACUGGACUCCAGUUUUAUUUGUCUGGGACUGAGCACCUGACCUCUGAGGUGAUUGUAAGCUCCUGGGAGAAAUGCCUGUCAGCACAAAAUCCUCACUUCCACUUAAAGAAACCCCAGACUCUUGAUGAGUACUACUCUGCCACAAUAAUCUUAACUGCUAGAUGAAAAAUGACAUUUUAAAAAGAAAGUUUCUAAUAAAACCAAAUUACAUUCUUACUUUCUUGUUUACAUUUCUACAUUUAGGACCAAAAUAUUAGGUAGCUACAAGCUGAGCAUUCAAGUUUUGUUUUCUGUUGCACUAAGGAAUAUUUUACCCUCCCUUUUCCAUUUAAAGGGCUGGCAAUGACUCUGCGUUGAUGCCUGCAGCAGUUGCAAAUUGCCUCGCGUCACUUCUUAAGGACAGCCAAUACCAACACCACGCUAGUCACAUUUCAAAGCAAGAAAUAUUUCCAAAAUAUCUAUGUCAACUAAAAAGGAUUAUCAAAUAUAAACCUCAUGGGUCAAUACAACAACUUGUCAGUUUUUCACCACCCUGGAGAGAUACAAACUUACUUCAAUGCUCUCCUCUCAAUGCCACGUCAGAUGGGACCUCCCAUGCCCUCCCCGAGAGAAAGGACAGGCGUCCCUAUAAAGUGAACCAGGUAAUAGGUGCAGGAGGGUUUGCAGGGAACUGCCCUAGAUAAUAACAGUGCAUCCUGAAGCUGCUUGUUACUUGAGCUGACUUAUCUCUUUAAUUCACGUGCAAAACCGAAAGCUGGUUGUAAGGCCAGUUACUUAAGUUUUGCUCACAGUAAUAAAUCUGGAGCAAUCCCACUGACUGCUAUAAUCCUCAACAAAUACCACUAAAAAGCUAAUCAAGGGCUAAAUCUUCUAGUCUCAUCUGGGUCAAAAUUCCAAACAGCUAUAAUGAGAAUCUCGUCUACAAAGCACUAGGGGGAAUUUAACCCCAUAUUGCUGGAAUGCCUCCAGGGGGAAAAAAAAAAAAA
This is a long non-coding RNA of Cygnus olor (mute swan), 1884 nucleotides long. RefSeq lists it as uncharacterized. Lineage: Eukaryota; Metazoa; Chordata; Aves; Anseriformes; Anatidae. The transcript is spliced from 3 exons. The record is from RefSeq and is a predicted model, not a curated record.